UCAACCCGCGAUCUGAAGAACGGCGGCGGCCGCUCCAGCUUGCAGCGGACGGAUCUAUGUGCGGCAGGGGCUGGGGAGGAUCCGAGACGGGCGGCGACGACGUGGGUCGCCGAUGACAACGAGGAAAGCCAGAGCGCGACUUCCCGGGCGGACCCAUGGCAUCCGGGGCUCCUGUCAGAAAGGAGACAGGGAGAUGGGGGGAGGAGAAAAGGGGGGAAAGGAGGGGAGGUGCGGCGACAGGAGGUCGGACGAGGCGGCGGCUUCCUGCAGUAGACGGCAACGCGGUGCAGGGUGCUGUCCACGGGUGUCAUGGGGCCGUCCUCCUCACCUCAGCUUCCUGGACCUCACACGCCUGCUCCCUUGCCAAGUACGUACGUCCAAGCGGCCACCAUACUCACCACCUCCGCCGACUUCCCCUAUGGUGCCAAUCUCAAGAGCCCCGACAGCUCGAUUCCGUGCAUCCCGGCUCGAUUACUUCAAGGAGGAGGAGGAUGAACGCGUGGCGGAGGUCCUGGACACGGCCGACUGUCCCAGGAAGGUCUGCAGCAACGGCGGCCUCUGGUGCACGCGGAGGUCUCCGUCUCCGUGGAGGUGGAAAUUUAAUUCGACCUCACCUGGGGCUGCCGGCGGACUCCUCCCGAAGCUCCUGCACGCCGCCACGAUGAGCACGCCCAGGCUCGUGAUGGCCUCGAAUACAAAUACGGUCUGCGGCCACAGGCGGAGACCAGCGCCCUCUGGAUCGCCAAGCUCUGUUCAAACCAAAAGACAAGCGUAGGUUUUCGAAUUGCUUGAAGUUAUACAGUUGAGAUGUCUAGACAUUUCAAUGAAAUACCCUCAGUUGCUUUGAAAUCUGAGAGCUGAAUCGUAGAAAUUGAAAACAGAUAAGUGCAGAUAAUAAGCGCGAACAGGUCCAUCAAUUUCGCGAACCCCAUAUAUCCAUGAUCUGAUAAGCUGGACCUGAGAUCAAAUAUCACACUGAUUAUUGAUUGCAGAAAGCUAAGUAUCAACUAUGCCCGAAUAAUGAGCGGAUGCUUUGCAGAUUUUGUCUUCUGUAGACUGAAUACUGCCAGUGACUAUAUUAUCCAGCAGAGCACUUAUAUGCCUUCACUAAGAACAAAAGGUGGGUACUUGCAACCACUUAUUCUUCCUUGUAACUGCAAAAAGAAUAUCCUCAGGAGAUGAGUGGCCAAUAUAAGCAGGCAACAGAAUUUGCUUGCUUGAUAUGAGAUGCCCAGCAUUAUUAUGUCUGUGUUACGCAGAGGUCUCCGUGGAGGUGGAAAUUUAAUUCGGCCUCACCUGGGGCUGCCGGCCUCCCUGAGCUCCUGCUGCCGGCGGCCUCCUCCCGAAGCUCCUGCCGGCCUCCUCCCAGAGCACCAAGCACGAACAAGGUACCGUGCUGCACACCUGAAGGUCACCCAUCUACUCUCCGCAAGCCAAAUCCUCUUUUGAAAUUGAGCAGUUGAUCAAAUUAACUAGGAAACCUUGACACACACUUGCGUCCAGUAGCUCGAUCUGCUGGUGCUAGGAGGGGAUUACCCUUAGAGUUGCAGCCGGUGCUGAGCACUCAUAGUUUCAGGUAUUAUUUCUUAGUUAAUUUGUUCAAGAUGGAUGUGGCUGAUUCGAUAUUUCGAUUGGAAAAAAUUCUUGAAGUCUGUAACCCAGUUUAUGUCUCAAUGAGCCAAAACAGUGGGAAGUUUCUGUUUCGUGGAAGAACUAUGAGUGCAAGCGAACCAAGAAGCACACAAAACAGUGAGCUAACUAUAGUCCCGUUGAGCUCCUAGCUACAGCGUACUCAGCAGAGCACUGCUUGCGAUGGAGGCUCAUUGACAUCUGCCAGAUAUAGUAAGGAUAAAAAUUAUGUUUGCUGAACAACGGUUGUAUUUAUUUUCGCACAAUGCGUUUUUACACAUGCUUCUCAAAAAUAAUUACA
Long non-coding RNA from Triticum aestivum (bread wheat), 1930 nucleotides. RefSeq lists it as uncharacterized. The record is from RefSeq and is a predicted model, not a curated record. The transcript is spliced from 3 exons. NCBI's taxonomy places the organism in Eukaryota, Viridiplantae, Streptophyta, Magnoliopsida, Poales, Poaceae.